AGCUUUGCACAGUGGCAGUGUCAUAGCCAAUGAGUUUUAUCCAAGGCACGAUUAUUGCUAAUUGAAAAUUUAAUUUCUGUACAG
Molecule: small nuclear RNA, 84 nt
Filed under: Myotis lucifugus (little brown bat)
Lineage: Eukaryota; Metazoa; Chordata; Mammalia; Chiroptera; Vespertilionidae
Description: U4 spliceosomal RNA (ENSMLUG00000026299.1)
Rfam family: U4 spliceosomal RNA
About the family: U4 small nuclear RNA (U4 snRNA) is a component of the major U2-dependent spliceosome.
Source: RNAcentral